UACAGAGGGGGCAAGCGUUGUUCGGAAUUACUGGGCGUAAAGGGCGCGUAGGCGGCCUGUUAAGUCGAACGUGAAAUCCCCGGGCUCAACCCGGGAACUGCGUCCGAUACUGGCAGGCUUGAAUCCGGGAGAGGGAUGUGGAAUUCCAGGUGUAGCGGUGAAAUGCGUAGAUAUCUGGAGGAACACCGGUGGCGAAGGCGGCAUCCUGGACCGGUAUUGACGCUGAGGCGCGAAAGCCAGGGGAGGCAAACGG
RNAcentral lists this ribosomal RNA (253 nucleotides) under uncultured bacterium. RNAcentral describes it as "partial 16S ribosomal RNA". It matches the Rfam family "Bacterial small subunit ribosomal RNA", at positions 524 to 776 of the family's 1533-position model. The record is from RNAcentral.